AAAUACGUCAAACUUAUCUUUGAAUCCACCAAAUUCAUGUCCAAAUCUGUGAAAUCCUUCUCAAAUUCCGCCAAACUACUCGCAAAGUCCGCAGAGCCUUCCCAAUUUCCAAAACGUCCUUCCCACUUACCAACCAAAUUCCUUUCAUCCACAAAAUCAAGCCUCCCUUCCAAAUCCCCUUCAGGCUAUUGUAUCCCCUGAAACCUAUGAACCCU
RNAcentral lists this long non-coding RNA (215 nucleotides) under Capsicum annuum. Its description in RNAcentral is "long non-coding RNA (CANN_LNC003491)". The record is from RNAcentral. Lineage: Eukaryota; Viridiplantae; Streptophyta; Magnoliopsida; Solanales; Solanaceae.